CGCGGUGGUAGCCCAACGAAGAACGCGACAUCCUGUCGCAACGUUGGACAAUGAACAUACUGUUCU
Tumebacillus algifaecis is the source of this 66-nucleotide small RNA. It matches the Rfam family "Bacillaceae-1 RNA". NCBI's taxonomy places the organism in Bacteria, Bacillati, Bacillota, Bacilli, Caryophanales, Alicyclobacillaceae. The record is from Rfam.